AGAAAUAAUUUAAUAUUUAAACUUCUAAUUUAAAUUCUAAGUGAUUACUCAUUUAUAUUUCUU
RNAcentral lists this transfer RNA (63 nucleotides) under Hydromanicus wulaianus. Its description in RNAcentral is "tRNA-Ser". Lineage: Eukaryota; Metazoa; Arthropoda; Insecta; Trichoptera; Hydropsychidae. The record is from RNAcentral.